Molecule: ribosomal RNA, 432 nt
Filed under: uncultured bacterium
Lineage: Bacteria
Description: partial 16S ribosomal RNA
Rfam family: Bacterial small subunit ribosomal RNA
Source: RNAcentral
AGCGAACGCUGGCGGCAGGCUUAACACAUGCAAGUCGAGCGGGCCUUUCGGGGUCAGCGGCGGACGGGUGAGUAACGCGUGGGAACGUGCCCUCUGGUUCGGAAUAACUCAGGGAAACUUGAGCUAAUACCGGAUACGCCCUUUUGGGGAAAGGCUUGCUGCCGGAGGAUCGGCCCGCGUCUGAUUAGCUAGUUGGUGAGGUAACGGCUCACCAAGGCGACGAUCAGUAGCUGGUCUGAGAGGAUGAUCAGCCACACUGGGACUGAGACACGGCCCAGACUCCUACGGGAGGCAGCAGUGGGGAAUAUUGGACAAUGGGCGCAAGCCUGAUCCAGCCAUGCCGCGUGAGUGAUGAAGGCCUUAGGGUUGUAAAGCUCUUUUAGCCGGGACGAUAAUGACGGUACCGGAGGAAUAAGCCCCGGCUAACUUCGU